CCGACGGUGAGAGGCGAAAGCUGGGGGCACGAACCGGAUUAGAUACCCGGGUAGUCCCAGCCGUAAACGAUGCUCGCUAGGUGUCUGGGAUGGUGCGACCGUUUCAGGUGCCGCAGGGAAGCCGUGAAGCGAGCCACCUGGGAAGUACGGCCGCAAGGGCUGAAACUUAAAGGAAUUGGCGUGGGAGCACUACAACGGGUGGAGCCUGCGGUUUAAUUGGACUCAACGCCGGAAAACUCACCUGGGG
RNAcentral lists this ribosomal RNA (247 nucleotides) under uncultured archaeon. Its description in RNAcentral is "partial 16S ribosomal RNA". It matches the Rfam family "Archaeal small subunit ribosomal RNA", at positions 691 to 936 of the family's 1478-position model. The record is from RNAcentral.